This is a long non-coding RNA of Oncorhynchus tshawytscha (Chinook salmon), 407 nucleotides long. Lineage: Eukaryota; Metazoa; Chordata; Actinopteri; Salmoniformes; Salmonidae. The record is from Ensembl.
AGGAGCCAGGGUAAUGAGACAGGAGCCAGGGUAAUGAGACAGGAGCCAGGGUAAUGAGACAGGUGCCAGGGUAAUGAGACAGGAGCCAGGGUAAUGAGACAGGAGCCAGGGUAAUGAGACAGGUGCCAGGGUAAUGAGACAGGAGCCAGGGUAAUGAGACAGGUGCCAGGGUAAUGAGACAGGUGCCAGGGUAAUGAGACAGGAGCCAGGGUAAUGAGACAGGUGCCAGGGUAAUGAGACAGGUGCCAGGGUAAUGAGACAGGAGCCAGGGUAAUGAGACAGGAGCCAGGGUAAUGAGACAGGAGCCAGGGUAUUGAGACAGGAGCCAGGGUAAUGAGACAGGAGCCAGGGUAAUGAGACAGGAGCCAGGGUAAUGAGACAGGAGCCAGGGUAAUGAGACAGGAGCC